RNAcentral lists this ribosomal RNA (465 nucleotides) under uncultured bacterium. RNAcentral describes it as "partial 16S ribosomal RNA". It matches the Rfam family "Bacterial small subunit ribosomal RNA", at positions 28 to 507 of the family's 1533-position model. The record is from RNAcentral.
GACGAACGCUGGCGGCGUGCUUAACACAUGCAAGUCGAACGGAAAGGCCCUGCUUGCCGGGUACUCGAGUGGCGAACGGGUGAGUAACACGUGGGUGAUCUGCCCUGCACUUCGGGAUAAGCCUGGGAAACUGGGUCUAAUACCGGAUAGGAGCCAUUUUUAGUGUGAUGGUUGGAAAGUUUUUUCGGUGUAGGAUGAGCUCGCGGCCUAUCAGCUUGUUGGUGGGGUAAUGGCCUACCAAGGCGGCGACGGGUAGCCGGCCUGAGAGGGUGGACGGCCACAUUGGGACUGAGAUACGGCCCAGACUCCUACGGGAGGCAGCAGUGGGGAAUAUUGCACAAUGGGCGCAAGCCUGAUGCAGCGGCGCCGCGUGGGGGAUGACGGCCUUCGGGUUGUAAACUCCUUUCGCUAGGGACGAAGCUUUUUGUGACGGUACCUAGAUAAGAAGCACCGGCUAACUACGUG